Molecule: ribosomal RNA, 219 nt
Filed under: uncultured bacterium
Lineage: Bacteria
Description: partial 16S ribosomal RNA
Rfam family: Bacterial small subunit ribosomal RNA
Source: RNAcentral
UACGGAGGGUGCAAGCGUUGUCCGGAAUCACUGGGCGUAAAGGGCGCGUAGGCGGCCUGGUAAGUAGGGGGUGAAAUCCUGCGGCUUAACCGCAGGGCUGCCUUCUAAACUGUCAGGCUUGAGCACGGUAGAGGCAGAUGGAAUUCCCGGUGUAGCGGUGGAAUGCGUAGAGAUCGGGAAGAACAUCAGUGGCGAAGGCGGUCUGCUGGGCCGUUGCUG